RNAcentral lists this transfer RNA (75 nucleotides) under Nanobdellati archaeon. Its description in RNAcentral is "tRNA-Glu". It matches the Rfam family "tRNA". Rfam says of the family: Transfer RNA (tRNA) molecules are approximately 80 nucleotides in length. The record is from RNAcentral. Lineage: Archaea; Nanobdellati.
GUCCCGUUAGUCUAGUGGCCAUAAGGAUUCGGCCCUUUCAAGGCUGAGACACGGGUUCAAAUCCCGUACGGGGCA